UGGGAUUAAAUUCAUGCACUUCUAUACUUG
Molecule: non-coding RNA, 30 nt
Filed under: Mus musculus (house mouse)
Lineage: Eukaryota; Metazoa; Chordata; Mammalia; Rodentia; Muridae
Source: RNAcentral